AAUAAUAAUUGGUGAAAGAGAAACUGAUAGACACCAAAAUUUUUUUCUAUUUCAACCAAACAUGUAACUAUAGUAGUUGGGGGUAGAGGUGGAAAAGUAAGAGAAUGCAAGUGGUAUAUUAUCCAAUUAUUUCAGUUGACUUCAGAGACUCUGGUUCCAGUACCAGUUACUCCAUUCUUCAUCGUGGAAUCAUGGCCUGUCUCAAGAACUUUUGUGCAUCGUUAGCUCAGCUCAGGCUCGAAGAUACCAACCUUUUCCGAGGAAUGAGUUUGACCGAAUUAGUGGAUGAGGAGGAGGCAGUAACUAGAAUGAUGAGCUAGAAGCUUGGCUAGUCUCGAAAGCGCGUCAAGACAACAAUUGAGUUCAAUGAUGCGUUUACCACAUGGAAAAGCUGUUAGGAAAUCCCUAUUUCGUAGGGAUUCGGUAAAACCGUGUCUUGAAUCCCUAUUUUCAUGGGAUUGUUAUUAUAAUUAAUGCAUUUGAUAGUAUUAUUUAUUCAGAUAUUUAUUUCAAAUUUAAAUAUUUGAUUGUAACUUUCUUGAAUUUGGGGUAAGAUAUUCCUACAACCAUGUCUAUAAAUAGCAUGAAUUAUGUCAUUUGUAAGUACGCACAAAUUUGUACUGAAAAGAAACUCUGUCAAAUUGCUUU
Molecule: long non-coding RNA, 648 nt
Organism: Humulus lupulus (European hop)
Lineage: Eukaryota; Viridiplantae; Streptophyta; Magnoliopsida; Rosales; Cannabaceae
Exons: 2
Source: RefSeq, a predicted model, not a curated record